RNAcentral lists this ribosomal RNA (254 nucleotides) under uncultured bacterium. RNAcentral describes it as "partial 16S ribosomal RNA". It matches the Rfam family "Bacterial small subunit ribosomal RNA", at positions 524 to 776 of the family's 1533-position model. The record is from RNAcentral.
UACGAAGGGGGCUAGCGUUGUUCGGAAUUACUGGGCGUAAAGCGCGCGUAGGCGGUUUUGCAAGCCAGAGGUGAAAUGCCCGAGCUUAACUUAGGAAUUGCCUUUGGGACUGCGAGGCUUUGAGGACGGGAGAGGUGAGUGGAAUUCCCAGUGUAGAGGUGAAAUUCGUAGAUAUUGGGAAGAACACCGGUGGCGAAGGCGGCUCACUGGCUCGUUUCUGACGCUCAGGCGCGACAGCGUGGGGAUCAAACAGG